This 210-nucleotide unclassified non-coding RNA is filed under the name uncultured Sebacina. RNAcentral describes it as "sequence contains ITS2". Lineage: Eukaryota; Fungi; Basidiomycota; Agaricomycetes; Sebacinales; Sebacinaceae. The record is from RNAcentral.
GUACUCUCACACUCUCCGAUCCUUUGGAUUUGGGGAGUGGUGGACUUGGGUGCUUGCUGCCUUCGGUUGUGGCUCACCUCAAAUGCGUCAGUGCAUCUCUUGAUUGGACAUAGUACGGCGUGAUAAGUGUCUUCGCCGGCACCUCUUUCAGAGGGUGGCUGAUUGGGAGCUCUGUGCUUCAAACUAACUGUCUUAGGACACUCUCUGACA